RNAcentral lists this long non-coding RNA (1894 nucleotides) under Rattus norvegicus (Norway rat). RNAcentral's name for it is "long non-coding RNA NONRATT015203". The record is from RNAcentral. Lineage: Eukaryota; Metazoa; Chordata; Mammalia; Rodentia; Muridae.
GCUUUUCAAGUGUAAACCUACUGCUGUCUAUGAUAUUCCUGAUAUUGGGCAUAAAUCUAUAGAAUGAGAAAAUAGUAUGUAAUGAAUGAACUUUAAUUAAAAAUCAGUAUAAACUUAAAACAUCCCUAUGCUAGCAUGGCAUGGUUUUAAUGACGUGUAAGGGAUGUAGGUCGGUCCUUCUUGCUGUCUGACUUAGUCCCAGCCAUCGCCCUAGGUGUUCAUAGCACCUUUGCUUUUGUGCUUCCUGGGAUACAUCAGUGUUUCGUGGACCUUUCUCUGACAGUGGUGCAAGAACGUCAUGGAAGGAUACAUGAACCCACUGAGGAAGGAAGGGACUUUUUAAAUUUUGCCUCAAGUAAACUAAGUGUGUACAGUGUUUCUCCUUAUACAUGAUGCUGUGUUAGUGUUUGGGUAGUAUUACAGCGAGAAGAUGGAGAGGAAGCGGUGAGGCUUGGAGACGGCAGGCCAGCCUGUGACACGCCGGGCAGCUAUUUGGCUUUGUCAUUUCAAUGGACGGUGUGACUGAUACCUGUACUAUUAAAUAGGCUGAUUUGGUUUUUUUUUUGGCCUAAAUCAUUAUUGAAGAAAUAUCCUCCCCCAGCUUUAAAGUUACAGUCCUGAGCUACAUAAUUGGGAUUACCACUGGGCUGACUGAAUGAAUGCCCUGCCACCCGGGAACUGGGGUUUAUGACGUCCGAGGGCUCAGUCACAUCACCACUCUCGUCCUUCCCAUCAGUGGACCAUCUCCUUGACUGUUGACAACAGUCAGACUACCUGCCGUGACCGACUGCCGUGAGACUGUUGUGACAGCCAUUGUCAGGACCGGUCCUGUACAUGGUGUAUGGGUGGCAGGAUACAAGAAGUCGAUGUGGAAUCAUUGUGCAUUUUUAUUUGUAAAAGUUUAUAUCCAGUAUUGACAGUGGAACAGUUUGGAACAGUAUUGAUAUUUGGAACAGUUUUCCAAAACAGAAUCAUCUGAAAUGAGGCAGAGACCGAGACACUACUGCGGCCUUCCCCACAGUGCUGAGUGUACUAUAGUGCAUUAGAGACGGCCACUUCUCAGACAGGGAAGACCCAGAAAGGGACUGCACUGCACCGGGAAUGAGGAACUGGUGACAGAAAGUAGUUCCUAGCUGGGUGGUGGCUCAUGCCUUUAAUCCCAGCCUUGGGAGGCAAAGGCAGGCGGAUCUUUGUGAGAUCGAAGCUAGUCUGGUCUACAGAGCAAGUUCUAGGACAGCCAGGGCUACAUAGAGAAACUCUGUCUCAAAAGCCACCACCACUACCAACAAAAAGCAGACCCCGCUGCACUGACACGUAUUUAAGGAGUGAAGAUGGAGUUAGAGUCAGUUUGAUGGGGUGAAUCCCAUAUCCGCCUGGGAUUCUGGGAGUCAGGCCGCAAGUCUUGCUUUAAAUGCUAACAUCUGUUGUUACUCACAUUCUCUAUAAAGAUAUAAAAUUAUAUUUUAAAGACUUUUAUGUAUCAGAGCUAUAGGUUUUUAAAGUGGAGAAAUGCCCAAAUAAAUUGUUAAAUUACAAUAUAUAAUAGGUGCUUUCAAAUUAAGGUUUUUUAAAGUUAUAAUAAUCUAAAUAGCCCACUAAUCUGAUCUUUGUAAAUUGUCCCACGAUUCUGGUUACUCUUAAGGUGUUUUUUGAGUUUUUGAAAGUUUACCUAGGUUGUACAAUAUCUUCCUGUGCUGUUUAGAUCUCUGUUGCAUACAUGCUGUUCUCGUGUCUGUGCUCUUAGAGCUUUAGAGGUCAGCUGAAAAUACGGAGUGCAGCUCUUGUGUAUGAUCCCACACUGAUCGAGUAGACUGCCAGUCACCUCAUUCAGAACAUAGGUCUGGGUUUGUACAGUAGGGGACUAAAAAUCAAAGUUCAGAAACUCACGAAGUGU